RNAcentral lists this long non-coding RNA (590 nucleotides) under Anser brachyrhynchus (Pink-footed goose). Its description in RNAcentral is "lncRNA (ENSABRG00000004441.1)". The record is from RNAcentral. Lineage: Eukaryota; Metazoa; Chordata; Aves; Anseriformes; Anatidae.
AUGCGGGGGUCUGCGGGCGGUAGGUGGCACUGCGAGCGCGGGGAUGGCGCCUGUGCUGCUGCGGCCUGCGCUCCUCGCUUCCCUCGGCUGUCGCUAGCUGUCGUCCUGCUGUUCUCGGUGGAAGAACCGCAGAUUACGCGGUCUCCAAAGUAUGUUUUCCCUACAUGCGUGUGGAAAGCUGGAUGGGCUUUCCCACCAAAGCUGCAAAAUCCUGAGCCUCGAUGCGGCUACGUACCGCUAGGCGAAUUAAAAGCCAGGAGGAAUAUGGCAUACAUAUGGAGGAAUAUGACAUACAUAUACAUAUGUGGCCAGGCCACAACAACUGAUGCUACCUGUCCUUUUUCCUGCUGAGUCUAUUGAACAACUUCAGUGUUACAAUAUUUCAUGUGAGCACUGCUGCCUCAUUUCAGCACCUGUGGAAAAGGUAUGAUAGUGGGGCUCCUGAACGAAGGAGGAGGUUUGAAGGCCUAGACUUGUGGAAUGAGAUGAGUCCAAGAACAGGAAAAGCCCAGCAGGAGCACAGUCUGCGGUUUUCUGUUUUUCUUACAGAGUGAAAUAAAGAGUAGUUGGAAGAUAUGAAAAAGAUCUCU